Non-coding RNA from Mycena epipterygia, 87 nucleotides. Lineage: Eukaryota; Fungi; Basidiomycota; Agaricomycetes; Agaricales; Mycenaceae. The record is from the annotation of a GenBank genome assembly.
GCCUUCGAGGACCAGUGGUGGUCGUCCCGGUUCUAUGAGUACGGAGAGGUCCAGCGGGAAGGCGGGGUUCGACUUCCCGCGGAGGCA